AACGAACGCUGGCGGCAUGCCUAACACAUGCAAGUCGAACGAGACCUUCGGGUCUAGUGGCGCACGGGUGCGUAACGCGUGGGAACCUGCCCUUAGGUUCGGAAUAACUCCCCGAAAGGGGUGCUAAUACCGGAUAAUGUCUUCGGACCAAAGAUUUAUCGCCUUUGGAUGUGCCCGCGUUGGAUUAGCUAGUUGGUAGGGUAAAAGCCUACCAAGGCGACGAUUCAUAGCUGGUCUGAGAGGAUGAUCAGCCACACUGGGACUGAGACACGGCCCAGACUCCUACGGGAGGCAGCAGUGGGGAAUAUUGGACAAUGGGCGAAAGCCUGAUCCAGCAAUGCCGCGUGAGUGAUGAAGGCCUUAGGGUUGUAAAGCUCUUUUACCCGGGAUGAUAAUGACAGUACCGGGAGAAUAAGCUCCGGCUAACUCCGUG
RNAcentral lists this ribosomal RNA (433 nucleotides) under uncultured bacterium. Its description in RNAcentral is "partial 16S ribosomal RNA". It matches the Rfam family "Bacterial small subunit ribosomal RNA", at positions 29 to 507 of the family's 1533-position model. The record is from RNAcentral.